RNAcentral lists this ribosomal RNA (474 nucleotides) under uncultured organism. Its description in RNAcentral is "partial 16S ribosomal RNA". It matches the Rfam family "Bacterial small subunit ribosomal RNA", at positions 329 to 799 of the family's 1533-position model. The record is from RNAcentral.
ACGUACACUCCUGCGGGAGGCAGAAGUGAGGAAUAUUGGACAAUGGGUGGAAGCCUGAUCCAGCCAUCCCGCGUGCAGGAAGACGGCCCUAUGGGUUGUAAACUGCUUUUAUCUGGGGAUAAACCUACUUACGUGUAAGUAGCUGAAGGUACCAGAAGAAUAAGCACCGGCUAACUCCGUGCCAGCAGCCGCGGUAAUACGGAGGGUGCAAGCGUUAUCCGGAUUUAUUGGGUUUAAAGGGUCCGUAGGCGGACUGAUAAGUCAGUGGUGAAAUCCGACAGCUUAACUGUCGAACUGCCAUUGAUACUGUUAGUCUUGAGUAAGGUUGAAGUGGCUGGAAUAAGUAGUGUAGCGGUGAAAUGCAUAGAUAUUACUUAGAACACCAAUUGCGAAGGCAGGUCACUAAGUCUUAACUGACGCUGAUGGACGAAAGCGUGGGGAGCGAACAGGAUUAGAAACCCCAGUAGUCCCAUG